CGGCGGACGGGUGAGUAACACGUGGGCAACCUGCCUUACACAGGGGGAUAACAGUUAGAAAUGACUGCUAAUACCGCAUAAGACCGCAGUACCGCAUGGUACAGCGGUAAAAACUCCGGUGGUGUAAGAUGGGCCCGCGUCUGAUUAGGUAGUUGGUGGGGUAACGGCCCACCAAGCCGACGAUCAGUAGCCGACCUGAGAGGGUGACCGGCCACAUUGGGACUGAGACACGGCCCAGACUCCUACGGAAGGCAGCAG
Molecule: ribosomal RNA, 258 nt
Filed under: uncultured bacterium
Lineage: Bacteria
Description: partial 16S ribosomal RNA
Rfam family: Bacterial small subunit ribosomal RNA
Source: RNAcentral